UACGUAGGCAGCAAGCGUUGUUCGGAGUUACUGGGCGUAAAGGGUGCGUAGGCGGUUGUUUAAGUUUGGGGUGAAAUCUCCCGGCUCAACUGGGAGGGUGCGCCGAAUACUGAAUGACUAGAGUGCGGGAGAGGAGAGUGGAAUUCCUGGUGUAGCGGUGAAAUGCGUAGAUAUCAGGAGGAACACCGGUGGUGUAGACGGCUCUCUGGACCGUAACUGACGCUGAGGCACGAAAGCGUGGGUAGCAAACAGG
This 253-nucleotide ribosomal RNA is filed under the name uncultured bacterium. RNAcentral's name for it is "partial 16S ribosomal RNA". It matches the Rfam family "Bacterial small subunit ribosomal RNA", at positions 524 to 776 of the family's 1533-position model. The record is from RNAcentral.